This 205-nucleotide long non-coding RNA is filed under the name Brassica napus (rape). RNAcentral's name for it is "long non-coding RNA (BNAP_LNC023016)". Lineage: Eukaryota; Viridiplantae; Streptophyta; Magnoliopsida; Brassicales; Brassicaceae. The record is from RNAcentral.
GAGUGACAUUUGAGAAGCUUCUGACAUUUGACAGAUCAGAUAUCGUGCUUCACUCAUCAGACUAAAUACAGAGAGAGAAGAUAGAGGUGACCUUAGUGGUGGUGAAGUGUGCGCUGGAAUCGAAGGGAGUGGUGGUGGUGGCGACGAGUUGAGAGGAGGCGUACAUAGUCAAGUUUCAGAGACUUGGUCGUCUUCUCUAUGAUUC